UCUCCGUAGGUGAACCUGCGGAGGGAUCAUUACAAGUGACCCCGGUCUAACCACCGGGAUGUUCAUAACCCUUUGUUGUCCGACUCUGUUGCCUCCGGGGCGACCCUGCCUUCGGGCGGGGGCUCCGGGUGGACACUUCAAACUCUUGCGUAACUUUGCAGUCUGAGUAAACUUAAUUAAUAAAUUAAAACUUUUAACAACGGAUCUCUUGGUUCCGGCAUCGAUGAGGAACGCAGCGAAAUGCGAUAAGUAAUGUGAAUUGCAGAAUUCAGUGAAUCAUCGAAUCUUUGAACGCACAUUGCGCCCCCUGGUAUUCCGGGGGGCAUGCCUGUUCGAGCGUCAUUUCACCACUCAAGCCUCGCUUGGUAUUGGGCAACGCGGUCCGCCGCGUGCCUCAAAUCGACCGGCUGGGUCUUCUGUCCCCUAAGCGUUGUGGAAACUAUUCGCUAAAGGGUGUUCGGGAGGCUACGCCGUAAAACAACCCCAUUUCUAAGGUUGACCUCGGAUCAGGUAGGGAUACCCGCUGAACUUAAGCAUAUCA
This 541-nucleotide ribosomal RNA is filed under the name uncultured fungus. Its description in RNAcentral is "eukaryotic LSU rRNA". The stretch from base 189 to 342 matches the Rfam family "5.8S ribosomal RNA". The record is from RNAcentral. Lineage: Eukaryota; Fungi.